Molecule: long non-coding RNA, 1632 nt
Organism: Phascolarctos cinereus (koala)
Lineage: Eukaryota; Metazoa; Chordata; Mammalia; Diprotodontia; Phascolarctidae
Source: Ensembl
AGGACGGCAAAGCAAACAGAGUUGAAAUCUCCCAGGGAGGGAUGGAGAAGAAGAGAGGGGAGGGGAAGGAAAGACAGGAAGGAGGUUCCUAACUCCCUUUCACAGGACCCUCAUGAGGUGAAAGAAGCAGCCCCAGCUUCCUUUUUUUAAUUUUUUUUUUUUUGGUUGAGAGGAGGUUCCAGGGGGAUUGGGUCUGGGUGAAAGGCUUGCCCAUUUCCUUAGCCUUUUCUCAACUCAGGAGAGAUCUUCAACAGGAAAGAACUCACAGAAAGUGACUGUAGUUCUUUACCAAUCCCACCAAGCCAUCUAGCUGCAGAAAUAUUGUUGACAUGUUUGCAGAAUAUAUUUAAAAGCUGGAACUUUCCCCUACCAUGUGGUUUAGUUAGUUUGCUGAAAAGGGACUACCCAGACUUUUUCACUGACCAGGCUUAUAUUCUUGGGCAAAUAACUGAAAGAGGGAGGCCAUUGAACUGGGGAAUGGGUUGAAGGAACGCAGUUUUCUCUAUUUUAAGAUAGUUAAGGUCCCUGUUCGUGAUCACAGGAGAACGGGGUCAUCCUGACUGACUUGGGAAGGUUCCUUGGCUUUGAAGUCUCCUACACUCCCUGAGGCCCUGAAGACCCCUGCUGGCAGUUCCUCCUUCCCUUUCUCAGGCUACUUUCCUGGCCUUCAAACCCUGACCUCUCCCCAGUGCCACCCUGUUGGAGCUCACAAAGCACAGGAUGUAGGAUGAAGGUAAAGAGAACCAGACUCACCAGAGGAAGAAGGUUCUGGGAACAUCUGUUAGAUCAGAUCUCUGGUAGCAGGGAUGAUGGAUCAAUCUCCAAGAAGCCCCAAAUGGAGCAUGGGGUCCCCAUGAAGACACCAAAUAGUCAUCUGUUCAUCAUAUGUAAUGCUCCCUAGGUCAGUGAGGCAAGGUUGUUUCCCUUCCUCCUUUGUUCUGUGCAGUUAGUGGGAACAUAAAUCAACAGAUUUUGCUAUUACUAAUUAAUAGGAAGUGAGAUCUAUCUAAGGAAGAGAAGCAAUAUAUAUUAUAAUCCAGUCCUUUGUCCCAAAUAAGACAAAGGGUGCUAAAUGGUAGGCACCAAUUAAUCUGUUUCCAGACUAAGUACAUGAUUGACUCUUUUCUGAUAUAGCUUUGUACAAAAUGUCUUCAGAAUGAUGGCAGAGCCAAGGGAAAGCUGUAGAUAAGACCUUAACCUUCCAGGUAGAAAGGAGAGGGAGGAGCUUGAGUCCAGAGAAGCAGGGACUUAAGCAGAAAAGCAAAGCUUGAGGCAUGAGUACUUGAUUGUAACGGGUAUCUGCAAUGUGGCUCUUCUCAACGAUACAAUGAUCCAAGACAAUCCCAAAGGACUCAUGGUGGAAAAUGCUAUCCACAUCCAAAGAAAGAACUGAUGUCUGAAUACAGACUGAAACACAUUAUUUCCCUCUUCUUUUCUUUCUUGUUUCCUUCCUUUUUCAAGUCUUCUUGCACAAAAUGACUAACAUGUAAAUGUUUUACAUGAUUUCACAUGUAUAACCUAUAUCAGAUUGCUUACUGUCUCAGGAAGGGGGAGAGGAGGGGAGGAUAGAAUUUGGAACUCAAAACUUAAAAAAAACACAAAUGUUAAAAUUUGUUUUAACAUGUAAUUGAG